Molecule: Y RNA, 107 nt
Filed under: Saimiri boliviensis boliviensis (Bolivian squirrel monkey)
Lineage: Eukaryota; Metazoa; Chordata; Mammalia; Primates; Cebidae
Description: Y RNA (ENSSBOG00000003655.1)
Rfam family: Y RNA
About the family: Y RNAs are components of the Ro ribonucleoprotein particle (Ro RNP), in association with Ro60 and La proteins. The Y RNAs and Ro60 and La proteins are well conserved, but the function of the Ro RNP is not known.
Source: RNAcentral
GGCUGAAGUGAAGGUAGUAAGUUACCUCUGGAUUGUUCACAGUUACAGAUUGAACUCCUUUUUCUACUCUUUCCCCUCUUUUCACUACUGAACUUGACUAGUCCAAA